RNAcentral lists this long non-coding RNA (769 nucleotides) under Homo sapiens (human). Its description in RNAcentral is "HSALNT0330283". The record is from RNAcentral. Lineage: Eukaryota; Metazoa; Chordata; Mammalia; Primates; Hominidae.
UCCAGGUUGAGGCCCCUUUACACUGCAUUCUCCUUGGGGAAGGUCACAGAGCAGGAUGAGAAUGGAACCGGGAGACAGGAACAAAGCAGAGACCCUGAAGCCUGGUCUGUGGGCAGAAAAGCCUCUAGAGGCCCGACUAUCAAAGGGACAUGAUGCCUUUAAGGAGGAUGAAGUCAUCGGGGGAUGAGGCCACCUGGCUCUGCAGCCAGGGCUGCUGCCGAAAAGGAGGAGCAGAAGGUGGAAGACUGUCAUUCCACUCACACCUACCAGGUUCAUCAUAAGACCGUCUGCUCAGGACCAUCUCUAUGAACUACUAGAGGUUUCCUGCCAUCGUGGAGCACAGAUUGCUCUGUUCAGGCCUCACAGUGAAAUCAGGACAAGAUAUUCCUGCGUAGUCCUCAUUCCCUUGCUGCGCUUGUCAGGGAAGUGGAGCACAGGGUAAAGUUUGAACUUGAAGUUGGGCAGAUCUGGAUUCAAACCCAGCUCUGCAGCUGUGUGGCCUUGGAUAAGUAAUUAAAACUCUCUGAGGAGUUUCCUCAUCUGCCAAAUAGAGAUGAUAACAGUUCUUGUCUUGCAUAGGUUAUCAUGAGGAUUACAUAAGGUGAUGAAUUGGUGGUAAUACACUAAGCACUGUGCCUAGGGCCAAGUGGAAGCUUCCUGGAUCCAUUUGGUGUCUAAUUUAUCUGUAGAUUUCCCAUAGCUGUUUGCACAUGCUGAUGAAAUGUGAUGGGGCAGAGGAUUUAUAGAUGCAAAAUUGCUUUGGAGGUGC